UAGGGAGACCUACCUUGGGGCAUCUGAGGGGAGUUAGACCACCCUCAGGCCAGCAAAGGUUAUCCCAGGUCGGUCGGGGUUGAGGGGAUGGUUGACUGGGGUUCUGGAGGGGAACCGAGGGGAGGGCUAUUAGCUCAGGUGGUUAGAGCGCACCCCUGAUAAGGGUGAGGUCCCUGGUUCGAGUCCAGGAUGGCCCACUGUUUGUCCUGGAGAAGGGAGAGCUAGCAAGCUAGAAGCGAGCUGGCCAAGCUGAGGGCAAAGCCASAGGGUGGGUGCAGUCUGGAUUGGGGGUAUAGCUCAGCCGGUAGAGCGCUGCCUUUGCACGGCAGAAGUCAGCGGUUCGAGUCCGCUUACCUCCACCACUUUGGUGAGGAGCCSGGAAGGGGUUCUC
Molecule: transfer RNA, 391 nt
Filed under: uncultured cyanobacterium
Lineage: Bacteria; Bacillati; Cyanobacteriota
Description: partial 16S-23S rRNA intergenic spacer
Rfam family: tRNA (bases 287-359)
Source: RNAcentral